Molecule: long non-coding RNA, 1339 nt
Organism: Trichoplusia ni (cabbage looper)
Lineage: Eukaryota; Metazoa; Arthropoda; Insecta; Lepidoptera; Noctuidae
Exons: 2
Source: RefSeq, a predicted model, not a curated record
GCGAAAGGGUUACAAAAAGCCUUCCGUAUAAACAAACUUUAUCAACAAUAUUCGUAGAACUACGUAGCUUAUAGAUAGGUAAGCAUUUGUGAUAUUUAGUACUACGCAGUUCCGCUUCUGUUUUUGUUGGUAAUGUAAUCAAUUACUUAACGUUAAUCCGAUUUUAAUCGAUUUAGCACAUUGACUUAUAUUGAUAAACUUAUUUGUGGUACGCGUACCUAACAUUAAUUGCAUUGAGGAAAGCUGUAUCUAUUUAAACAUUUUUUGUCCACGUCACUUCGAAUAUAAGAAGAUCAGAAAACGUGAAAGCAUGAGGUUUUUUUUAAAGUUUUCUUAUGCGUUCUUUUAACGAAGAAAAGGUGUAUUACACCGGCCCAAACGAUUUUUUGUUUUAGAACAAAAUACGCACCACGCGUUUAUUGCUGAUUUGUCCGUUUUUUGGAUGCCUGAUAUAGGUACUAAGACUGUUAUAGGCAAAGUUUUAACGUGCCUAUUUUAAAGUUAUAAUGAACAUAUGUUUUUAAUUAUUCUAAGAUACCACUGAAAUACGGUUAAUACAUCGUGUGAAAAACUGAAUUUCACAUAUUGUACCUCAAAAUCGCCAACCUGCAACGACCUAGCGUGAUGAAGAAGUUUUGCCAGCAAUGGAACAUGUAGGGACUGGUUUUAUUUUACAAACCACACUGACUCAUUUCCCGACAAUCGUAAAACAACAGGAUUAUGAAUUUACGCCGAAAUUUAUAGAUGUGAAGGAGAUAAGAGUACUUACAAGUGUCCACAUCCAGUGCAUUCAGUACAAACUCAGUUCAAACACCUGUGCACUGAUAACUCUUAUCAUGUGGACUUUGUAGAAGUAUUUUAAGUGCUAUCACAUCGUACGAUAAAAAUAAAUUCAACGGUAAUCGUUGUAUCAGUGAUUUAAUUUUGUUUACGACGUUACGAAUUGAUAUACAGGUGCCGCAGAAAAUACGUCAAAUCGGGACACGUGCAUAUUUUUGUAGAUAUUCAUAGGUGUAUUUUACCUAUCAAAAGUUAUUAGUUACCACAGUAUGGUGCGUAAUGAAUUGCAUUGCAUUGCCUCGCAAAGAUUAAAUGUGGGAGAUGUUUGCAUAGGUUUUGGUCAGUAAGAGUUCUGACACUACCCGCAUCUUAACCGAGAAGGUAACACAGAGAUAUCUUUUUGUCGUGGAGUGAAGACAAUACACGUGCACCGAGCGAAGGUCGUCGUCGCCGGCGCAGGCGCACCUGCGUGAAUAAUCGCCGCUUGUUUAUCGGUGUGAUAGCGAGCCUGAAAAACCAAGUAACGGGACCGACUAUUUAAAUUCUUGAUAACUAUAAA